RNAcentral lists this ribosomal RNA (362 nucleotides) under uncultured Anaerolineaceae bacterium. RNAcentral's name for it is "bacterial SSU rRNA". It matches the Rfam family "Bacterial small subunit ribosomal RNA", at positions 1006 to 1382 of the family's 1533-position model. The record is from RNAcentral. Lineage: Bacteria; Bacillati; Chloroflexota; Anaerolineae; Anaerolineales; Anaerolineaceae.
AAGGGACGACCUUCGGGAGCUUGCACAGGUGCUGCAUGGCUGUCGUCAGCUCGUGUCGUGAGAUGUUCGGUUAAGUCCGCUAACGAGCCGCAACCCUCACUGUGUGUUAUAUGUGUCACACGGGACUGCCGGUUUUAAGCCGGAGGAAGGUGGGGAUGACGGUCAAGUCAGCAUGGCCCUUAUAUCCCUGGGCUACACACACGCUACAAUGGUCGGUACAAUAGGUUGCCAAGCCGCGAGGCGGAGCCAAUCCAUAAAAGCCGGCCUCAGUUCAGAUUGUAGGCUGCAACUCGCCUGCAUGAAGAUGGAGUUGCUAGUAACCGCAGGUCAGCAAUACUGCGGUGAAUACGUUCCCGGGUCUU